Molecule: ribosomal RNA, 253 nt
Filed under: uncultured bacterium
Lineage: Bacteria
Description: partial 16S ribosomal RNA
Rfam family: Bacterial small subunit ribosomal RNA
Source: RNAcentral
UACGAAGGGGGCUAGCGUUGCUCGGAAUCACUGGGCGUAAAGGGUGCGUAGGCGGGUCUUUAAGUCAGGGGGGAAAUCCCCGGGCUCAACCCGGGAACUGCGUCCGAUACUGGAAGGCUUGAAUCCGGGAGAGGGAUGCGGAAUUCCAGGUGUAGCGGUGAAAUGCGUAGAUAUCUGGAGGAACACCGGUGGCGAAGGCGGCAUCCUGGACCGGUAUUGACGCUGAGGCGCGAAAGCCAGGGGAGCAAACGGG